UCUUUGAUGUAAAGAAUCUUUGUCUUGUG
This 29-nucleotide non-coding RNA is filed under the name Rattus norvegicus (Norway rat). The record is from RNAcentral. Lineage: Eukaryota; Metazoa; Chordata; Mammalia; Rodentia; Muridae.